RNAcentral lists this transfer RNA (114 nucleotides) under Candidatus Woesearchaeota archaeon. RNAcentral describes it as "tRNA-Phe". It matches the Rfam family "tRNA". Rfam says of the family: Transfer RNA (tRNA) molecules are approximately 80 nucleotides in length. Their secondary structure includes four short double-helical elements and three loops (D, anti-codon, and T loops). The record is from RNAcentral. Lineage: Archaea; Nanobdellati; Candidatus Woesearchaeota.
GGGGCGGUAGCUUAGUCUGGGAGAGCGCGCGACUGAAGAUCGUGAGAUCGUGGGUCCAAAACGGACGCAGUACGUUUUAAGCGAACUGGUUCGAUGUAAAUCCCACCCACCCCA